RNAcentral lists this ribosomal RNA (427 nucleotides) under uncultured Alcaligenaceae bacterium. Its description in RNAcentral is "partial 16S ribosomal RNA". It matches the Rfam family "Bacterial small subunit ribosomal RNA", at positions 355 to 774 of the family's 1533-position model. The record is from RNAcentral. Lineage: Bacteria; Pseudomonadati; Pseudomonadota; Betaproteobacteria; Burkholderiales; Alcaligenaceae.
UGGGGAAUUUUGGACAAUGGGGGCAACCCUGAUCCAGCCAUUUCGCGUGUGCGAUGAAGGCCUUCGGGUUGUAAAGCACUUUUGGCAGGGAAGAAAAGGAUUGGGCUAAUACCCUGAUUCGCUGACGGUACCUGCAGAAUAAGCACCGGCUAACUACGUGCCAGCAGCCGCGGUAAUACGUAGGGUGCAAGCGUUAAUCGGAAUUACUGGGCGUAAAGCGUGCGCAGGCGGUUCGGAAAGAAGGAUGUGAAAUCCCAGGGCUUAACCUUGGAACUGCAUUUUUAACUACCGGACUAGAGUGUGUCAGAGGGAGGUGGAAUUCCGCGUGUAGCAGUGAAAUGCGUAGAGAUGCGGAGGAACACCGAUGGCGAAGGCAGCCUCCUGGGAUAACACUGACGCUCAGGCACGAAAGCGUGGGGAGCAAACA